This is a long non-coding RNA of Triticum dicoccoides, 825 nucleotides long. RefSeq lists it as uncharacterized. The transcript has 3 exons. Lineage: Eukaryota; Viridiplantae; Streptophyta; Magnoliopsida; Poales; Poaceae. The record is from RefSeq and is a predicted model, not a curated record.
CCGUUUAUAACCCUAGGUGGCGGACGGCGGCCGGCGGCCGGCUGACGGCGAGCUCCGGCGUCCGUUUCACGUGGGCAGCUCCGGCUCAAAUUGGCCGGCGGCUAAGCGAGCUCCUCGUCUUGCCCAGUACUCGGCCUCUCCGCUAAGGCCCCCAAUCCUCUGCUCUGGCGAGGGACUCCAGCAGGAGCUGUCUGCCAUGGCAUUAAUAUAAGCAGGGGAUCUGGGCAUCUCUGUAUUGGAAAGAGCUUACACCUUACAGUAUCUCUGUAUUGUGAUUCAGACAAGGAAAUGGCUACUACACUACACAACGGAGGAAUGAAUUGUAGAAAAUACUGAAGCGUGGAUCCGCAGAAUAAAGCUCCAUGUGAUUCCAUGUUAAACUGUCCAAAUGCAAAAAUUUAAGCUCCAUGUGGUUCCGAUAUGCUGCAAAUAGCUACCAGUGUACUAUCACACGGAGAUGACUGAUUAUUCACAGGUCAGCUGGCAGGUGCUAAUCGAGGGGGAAGAUCGAAACAUAUUCCACGCUAGUGCUAUGGACUGCUGAGAUUUGAAGGAACAUGGCAUGAUUAGUCGACCUGUAGAAUGAUGUUGUGAUAUUCUCAGCACAACGGAAGUGGCAAUCAAAGGGUGUAAUUGUGUUUCCUGAGGAGCCCAGUGAGGAAUAAUGCACUGCAGGAAAUAUAAAUCAGCAGAGCAUCACAACAAGGUGAAGGGUAUCGGUAUGUCUUUAGAAACGGCCACACAGUCCCAUGGAACAUCAGACAUGUAUGCGGAAGCUGAUGCCAAAUACCAGAAUUGACUAGCGUUGUUGCCCAGACAAGAGGC